This is a long non-coding RNA of Dipodomys spectabilis (banner-tailed kangaroo rat), 721 nucleotides long. RefSeq lists it as uncharacterized. The record is from RefSeq and is a predicted model, not a curated record. Lineage: Eukaryota; Metazoa; Chordata; Mammalia; Rodentia; Heteromyidae. The transcript has 3 exons.
UGGAGUACUUACUUCCUCUUCCUCUUCCGAGAAAAGUCUAGAACAGAGUCCUUGGUAAUGGCGACAGUGGGUCUGGAGGAGGGAGUUCAAGGUCUGGAGCUAGGAAACUUCAAACUGCUGGCCAGCUGAGUCAGAUGCAAUGGCCCAGGACGGUUACCAGGACAUUCAGCCUGUCAGCUGCCCAGGCCUCACAACUAUCCAUGGACCUCCUCAUCUCUCAGGGAGACCCUGAGGCUCAGGGAAACUUGGAGGCUCAUCCCAGAUCCUAAACCAAAUAUAUCCUCUACCAAUCUGGAUGACAGCCUUGCUUUCUGGCUCCUCAGACCAGGGAUGGCUUUCUCGUCCUUAAAACAAUAUUUAGUGUCUUUUAAAAACAUGGCAUUUGAAGCAUGUGAAGCCACCUGUUGGGCAAAUAGCUCCAAAGCAAAGAGCAAAAGUUGAAAGUCUCACUUUCUCCCUUUCAACUUCCACCCCAGCAGAGCCCUUGCAGAUCCAUCUCCCCUGGGGAAGCAGCACCCUGGAAACUGUGGAUACUGGAUUUUCUUCCCAGCCUCCCAAGAGCUCAUUCCACGGGCUGCUUAACCUGCAGUCCGUAGCCUGGAGUCCUUCACCAGGUGGCCAGAGACAGACAGUGGCCUUGCCAAGGCAGGCAGCAUUUUCCCCUGGAGCACUAACAGGAUUUUAGAGUGGGACCUGACUCAAUAAAUAUUUGUGGAAUGAG